AACGAACGCUGGCGGCAUGCCUAACACAUGCAAGUCGAACGAGACCUUCGGGUCUAGUGGCGCACGGGUGCGUAACGCGUGGGAACCUGCCCUUAGGUUCGGAAUAACUCCCCGAAAGGGGUGCUAAUACCGGAUAAUGUCUUCGGACCAAAGAUUUAUCGCCUUUGGAUGGGCCCGCGUGGGAUUAGCUAGUUGGUAGGGUAAAAGCCUACCAAGGCGAAGAUCCAUAGCUGGUCUGAGAGGAUGAUCAGCCACACUGGGACUGAGACACGGCCCAGACUCCGACGGAAGGCAGCAGUGGGGAAGAAGGGACAAUGGGCGAAAGCCUGAGCCAGCAGGGCCGCGUAAGUGAUGAAGGACUUAGGGUUGUAAAGCUCUUUUACCCGGGAUGAUAAGAACAGUACCGGGAGAAUAAGCUCCGGCUAACUCCGG
Molecule: ribosomal RNA, 432 nt
Filed under: uncultured bacterium
Lineage: Bacteria
Description: partial 16S ribosomal RNA
Rfam family: Bacterial small subunit ribosomal RNA
Source: RNAcentral